AAUCAACGCUGGCGGCGUGCCUCAGACAUGCAAGUCGAACGCGAAAGUUUCCUUCGGGAGACAAGUAGAGUGGCGCACGGGUGAGUAACACGUAGGUAAUCUACCUUUGGAUGGGGAAUAACAACCGGAAACGGUUGCUAAUACCGCAUAAUGCAGCGGCACCUAAUGGUGACAGUUGUUAAAGCGGGGGAUCGAAAGACCUCGCGUCUGAAGAGGAGCCUGCGGCGGAUUAGCUAGUUGGUAAGGUAACGGCUUACCAAGGCUACGAUCCGUAACCGGCCUGAGAGGGCGGUCGGUCGCACUGACACUGACAUACGGGUCAGACUCCUACGGGAGGCAGCAGUCGGGAAUUUUGGGCAAUGGGCGAAAGCCUGACCCAGCAACGCCGCGUGAAGGAUGAAAUCCCUCGGGAUGUAAAC
RNAcentral lists this ribosomal RNA (419 nucleotides) under uncultured bacterium. RNAcentral describes it as "bacterial SSU rRNA". It matches the Rfam family "Bacterial small subunit ribosomal RNA", at positions 32 to 430 of the family's 1533-position model. The record is from RNAcentral.